RNAcentral lists this ribosomal RNA (730 nucleotides) under uncultured bacterium. RNAcentral describes it as "bacterial SSU rRNA". It matches the Rfam family "Bacterial small subunit ribosomal RNA", at positions 771 to 1501 of the family's 1533-position model. The record is from RNAcentral.
AACAGGAUUAGAUACCCUGGUAGUCCAUGCCGUAAACGAUGAGUGCUAGGUGUUGGAGGGUUUCCGCCCUUCAGUGCCGGAGCUAACGCAUUAAGCACUCCGCCUGGGGAGUACGACCGCAAGGUUGAAACUCAAAGGAAUUGACGGGGGCCCGCACAAGCGGUGGAGCAUGUGGUUUAAUUCGAAGCUACGCGAAGAACCUUACCAGGUCUUGACAUCUUGCGCCAACCCUAGAGAUAGGGCGUUUCCUUCGGGAACGCAAUGACAGGUGGUGCAUGGUCGUCGUCAGCUCGCGUCGUGAGAUGUUGGGUUAAGUCCCGCAACGAGCGCAACCCUUGUUACUAGUUGCCAGCAUUAAGUUGGGCACUCUAGUGAGACUGCCGGUGACAAACCGGAGGAAGGUGGGGACGACGUCAGAUCAUCAUGCCCCUUAUGACCUGGGCUACACACGUGCUACAAUGGACGGUACAACGAGUCGCGAACUCGCGAGGGCAAGCAAAUCUCUUAAAACCGUUCUCAGUUCGGACUGCAGGCUGCAACUCGCCUGCACGAAGUCGGAAUCGCUAGUUAUCGCGGAUCAGCAUGCCGCGGUGAAUACGUUCCCGGGCCUUGUACACACCGCCCGUCACACCAUGAGAGUUUGUAACGCCCAAAGUCGGUGGCCUAACCAUUUGGAGGGAGCCGCCUAAGGCGGGACAGAUGACUGGGGUGAAGUCGUAACAAGGUAACC